This is a long non-coding RNA of Trachemys scripta elegans, 1547 nucleotides long. RefSeq lists it as uncharacterized. The transcript is spliced from 2 exons. The record is from RefSeq and is a predicted model, not a curated record. NCBI's taxonomy places the organism in Eukaryota, Metazoa, Chordata, Testudines, Emydidae.
AUGGGGGAGGUUUUCUGCCUGCCUGAGCGGGAAAGGAAGGAGCGCCCGUGGCCAACUCCAUAAGGUGGAAGCAAGAACUGGGAAGGUAGAUGGAGCCUGAGACUGAUGAAUAUCUGGAAAAUAUGAGAUUCACACACAAACCAAGAUAAACGUAGACAAUGCCAUUGUGAUGCCAACCUUGUUAUAUGCCUCUGAAACUUCGUAAAUGCUAGAAAACCACAACAGGAAACUUAAGGCAUUCCAUCAGAGAUGCUUGCAAAGAGUAAUUAGUGUCUGCUGGUGUCAUAAAGUAAACAACGCUGAUCUGUUACAAAGGACUGACCAGCAUACCGUACAGACAAUGAUUCAAGAAAGAAGGCUGAAGUGGUUUGGACAUGUUGUAUGGAUGUCAAAAAAACCUGUGCUCCUAGUCAAAUUCUUGACUGGCUAUUACCUGGUGGAAGACGGAAAAGAGGAGGAUAACAGAUGACAUAACAAAACCAAUGAGGAAAAAUACUGCUGUCAUGGAAAAAGACUAAAAUGGGGCAAGAAAUGUGGCACUAGACAGAUGGAGGUGGAAAGACUGAGUUGCUUCAUGUGUCACAAGGCAAAAGAGCAUCUAAUAUAUAAUGCAAAUAGUAUGUAGCCUGUUAAUACUGUAAAUUCUGUGGAUUUGGGCAAGUCACCCAACUUCUACCUUAAUUACACCAUCUGUAAAACAUGGAUAAUAUGUAACUUCCCAGGAUUAGUGAGAGUAUUAGCUGGGUUUAAAAAUCACUUUGACGAUUAGUUGUGUGUUAUACUCAGUUACCUGAAACUAUAACCUUAUCUACCCCAGAUAUUUUUCAUUAUAAAGGUAUCAUUCUGUAGUAGGAGUUUCUUAAAUAUGAAUGCAUUUAUUGAGCACCGACAGGGUCUUCAGCCCUGUAUGGAUGAAGACACUUCCUGCCCCAACAGAGCGUACAGUCUAGUUCAGAUACAUUAUAGUAAAGAACAUAACAGAGGUUGCAGAUUUUUUUAAACCUUGUUUAAAGAAAAAAAAAAGGCCACACCGCAUUGUUAAAAAGCAUUGUGGAAGGAGUAUCUUUCAGAGGAAUUGGCUUUACAGGGAGGGAGUGCCUUUACAGGGAGGGAGUGUCUAACCUCAGAGGUUAGACACAAGUGGAAGAAAGAGAUAAAAGAGGCAUUUAGGAAGACCAUAGGCGAUAUGGAAAUGGUUGGCGAUAGGAGGAAAUGAGAGCAGACUGUCAUUGAGUUAUGCAGAGCCUUAAAGACUAUGGUGGGAGGUUUGAAACUGAGGAGGAAGGCAAGAAGCUAAUUAAGAGAUUCAUAGAGGAGAGUAGCAUGGCCUGAGUGGUGAGGAAGGAAGGUUAUUUGUAGGGAUGUAGAGGAAGCAGUGAAAGGCUACGGCCAGAGUUUGGAUACGAAACAAUGAGAGUGAAGACUAUUAUAACAAGGUUGUGAGCCUGACUGGCGGGAAGAUAGUGGAGUUAUCUAUAGUGAUAGAGAUGGGGCUUUUGAAUCUGAGAUGUUCCAAAGAACUGAAGAUUUAAUAAAAAAAAAAAAAA